RNAcentral lists this unclassified non-coding RNA (306 nucleotides) under plant metagenome. RNAcentral describes it as "partial contains 5.8S ribosomal RNA, internal transcribed spacer 2, and large subunit ribosomal RNA". The stretch from base 1 to 105 matches the Rfam family "5.8S ribosomal RNA", at positions 50 to 154 of the family's 154-position model. The record is from RNAcentral.
GAAAUGCGAUAAGUAAUGUGAAUUGCAGAAUUCAGUGAAUCAUCGAAUCUUUGAACGCACAUUGCGCCCGCCAGUAUUCUGGCGGGCAUGCCUGUCCGAGCGUCAUUUCAGCCAUCAAGCCCCCGGGCUUGUGUUGGGGACCUGCGGCUGCCCGCAGGCCCUGAAAACCAGUGGCGGGCUCGCUGUCACACCGAGCGUAGUAGCAAUCACCUCGCUCAGGGCGUGCUGCGGGUUCCGGCCGUUAAACAGCCUUACAAAACCCAAGGUUGACCUCGGAUCAGGUAGGAAGAUCCGCUGAACUUAAGC